UCUUAGUAUUUACACAUCACCUUAUUGUUUAUAUCCCCCCAGUUAUCACAUCACUCCAGUGAUUACAUCAUCGGUGAUAUACCAAACAGCACCUUAGGAGAUCCUUUAGUCCGUAUCGUGAUAUUAUUAGCGCUCUCCCUGCCUUUUGGAAUAGGACUUGUAUCUUGAUUGAGAAUGGCCGAAGCAACCUCUUUUGGAAAGAUAAUUGAAUCAGUGAUGGCCCC
Molecule: long non-coding RNA, 224 nt
Filed under: Elaeis guineensis (African oil palm)
Lineage: Eukaryota; Viridiplantae; Streptophyta; Magnoliopsida; Arecales; Arecaceae
Description: long non-coding RNA (EGUI_LNC031032)
Source: RNAcentral